GGUUUGGUCCUUUGUACACACCAUCGUUUAAGUAGCCUACUGACAAAUCAGCUGAGAAGGGUCUGGCUGCAGACGUGCACUCUCAGACACACGCAUGCGCACGGUUUUAAGUGCACGCACAGGCCACUCAACAUGAUACAGGAUUUAACGGUCGCACAGAAAUUAUUAUUAUCCCACACACACAGGCCCUUCAAGGUCAGCACGUGUUUUAAAAUGGUAUCGUAACAUACAACGACCGCCAAGGAAUCAAUAUGCAUCAAUCAGUAGUCUUAGCAGGUGUAAAGCACCUGAUACCAAAGUGCACAUCUUGUUGCACAUUGUAUCAUUGCCCCUUGUGCCCUUCACUGAAGCCAAUGAUUAAAAAGAAGAGUUCAGGCUCACUGGGAAGUCCAUUUAAAAAAAUUCAAUCAUUUUCCAAGCUGGACAUGGCAGAGCUGAGGAAAUGGUGGUGUCAUGUUAAUGGAGAACUUAGGACUGGAACGACAUGGAAAAUUGUUUGCCCACUAUGCUGAGGAGUCAAAAGCCUUCCUGAGAGGUGAUCAGCAGCCUGUAUUUGGGUUGCAAAAAAUGAGGUUUGAAGAAAUCUCUCAGGAAGAGCCUUUCCACAUACAGGUAGAUGAAACCAAUCUUUUCACCCUUGAGUUUGCACCGGAGAAGCAGGUGGUUUAGUCUCCACAAAAAAUGCGUGUCAUGACGGAUCUUGACUGCCAGUCAGUGGUGCAUAGAGUACUCUGGGGAUCUUCUCGGAUCAGUUCAGCUUCCUCGUGCAUGGAGGAUGAAGAAGCUGCUGAGGCCUUGGAACGGUUCUUCUGUGCAGAGUUCAUCAAGGACGAUCUUGUAGAGCCACUGAUAUUUGUUUUUAAAUUUACGCAGGACAUGCAUACAUUUUUAGAGAAUGUGGUGGAUAACAUGCAUCUGAGAAUCUUUUGUCGAACACAAAAUUGAAAAAUAUUGUUCGUUUUUUUUGUCUUAUGUAAUGAUUUUAUAUUUUAAUAGUAUAGUCAGUAAUAUUUCAUUUAUUUUAUCUAUGCAUUCAAAUUGUUCAACAACAGCAACUGUAAGUAACCCACAAUUACUGCAACUGUAAAUUACCCACUCACAAUGCCAUGUUUUUGUUUUAUUAUUUACUAAAGUCAACAAUCACCAACUGCUGUGUGUUGAAUUAUUUUCUGGUGUGUCAGUUUUGGAAAACAUAUUAACAUUGAAUGUGACUAGCAGACUUUGACUUGUUAGUCGAUGAUUUAAUAAUUCAUUAUGGAAUGUUAAAUACACAUAAAUUUCUCAU
Onychostoma macrolepis is the source of this 1285-nucleotide long non-coding RNA. RefSeq lists it as uncharacterized. The record is from RefSeq and is a predicted model, not a curated record. NCBI's taxonomy places the organism in Eukaryota, Metazoa, Chordata, Actinopteri, Cypriniformes, Cyprinidae. The transcript has 8 exons.